AUUGAACGCUGGCGGCAUGCCUUACACAUGCAAGUCGAACGGCAGCACGGGUGCUUGCACCUGGUGGCGAGUGGCGAACGGGUGAGUAAUACAUCGGAACAUGUCCUGUAGUGGGGGAUAGCCCGGCGAAAGCCGGAUUAAUACCGUAUACGAUCUACGGAUGAAAGCGGGGGACCUUCGGGCCUCGCGCUAUAGGGUUGGCCGAUGGCUGAUUAGCUAGUUGGUGGGGUAAAGGCCUACCAAGGCGACGAUCAGUAGCUGGUCUGAGAGGACGACCAGCCACACUGGGACUGAGACACGGCCCAGACUCCUACGGGAGGCAGCAGUGGGGAAUUUUGGACAAUGGGCGAAAGCCUGAUCCAGCAAUGCCGCGUGUGUGAAGAAGGCCUUCGGGUUGUAAAGCACUUUUGUCCGGAAAGAAAUCCUUGGCUCUAAUACAGUCGGGGGAUGACGGUACCGGAAGAAUAAGCACCGGCUAACUACGUG
This 486-nucleotide ribosomal RNA is filed under the name uncultured bacterium. Its description in RNAcentral is "partial 16S ribosomal RNA". It matches the Rfam family "Bacterial small subunit ribosomal RNA", at positions 30 to 507 of the family's 1533-position model. The record is from RNAcentral.